Molecule: ribosomal RNA, 289 nt
Filed under: uncultured bacterium
Lineage: Bacteria
Description: partial 16S ribosomal RNA
Rfam family: Bacterial small subunit ribosomal RNA
Source: RNAcentral
GUGGAUUAGAUACCCUGGUAGUCCACGCUGUAAACGAUGGAUGCUGGGUGUGGGAUUCAAUACGGAAUUCCGUGCCGAAGCUAACGCAUUAAGCAUCCCGCCUGGGGAGUACGGUCGCAAGACUAAAACUCAAAGGAAUUGACGGGGGCCUGCACAAGCGGUGGAGUAUGUGGUUUAAUUCGACGCAACGCGCAGAACCUUACCUGGGUUUGACAUCCCGCGACAGCCCUAGAAAUAGGGUUUCCCCUUCGGGGGCGCGGAGACAGGUGCUGCAUGGUCGUCGUCAGCU